This 17-nucleotide transfer RNA is filed under the name Acacia ligulata. RNAcentral's name for it is "partial tRNA-Leu". RNAcentral also lists the same sequence under 245 other names. Lineage: Eukaryota; Viridiplantae; Streptophyta; Magnoliopsida; Fabales; Fabaceae. The record is from RNAcentral.
AAAAUCCGUCGACUUUA